AAAGCGGCGCACGGGUGAGUAACACGUAGGUAAUCAACCCCCGAGUGGUGGACAACCCUCCGAAAGGAGAGCUAAUACAGCAUGACGGGGCAGCUUUCCGAAGCUGUUUCUAAAGCGGGCCUCUUCACGAAAGCUCGCGCUUGGGGAUGAGCCUGCGGCCCAUCAGCUAGUUGGUUGGGGUAACGGCCCACCAAGGCUAAGACGGGUAGCUGGUCUGAGAGGAUGAACAGCCACACUGGAACUGAGACACGGUCCAGACUCCUACGGGAGGCAGCAGUCGGGAAUCUUCCGCAAUGGGCGCAAGCCUGACGGAGCGACGCCGCGUGAGCGAUGAAGGCCUUCGGGUUGUAAAGCUCUGUGGGGAGGGAAGAAUAAGGGCAAGUUAAUAUCUUGUCUGAUGACGGUACCUCCUUAGCAAGCACCGGCUAACUCUGUGCCAGCAGCCGCGGUAAGACAGAGGGUGCAAACGUUGUUCGGAUUUACUGGGCGUAAAGCGCGUGUAGGCGGCUUUGCAAGUCGGAUGUGAAAGCCCACGGCUCAACCGUGGAAGUGCAUCCGAAACUGCAUGGCUUGAGUCUCGGAGAGGAAGGUGGAAUGCUUGGUGUAGAGGUGAAAUUCGUAGAUAUCAAGCAGAACACCUGCGGCGAAGGCGGCCUUCUGGACGAUGACUGACGCUGAGGCGCGAAAGCGUGGGGAGCAAACAGGAUUAGAUACCCUGGUAGUCCACGCCGUAAACGAUGAGUGCUAGGU
Molecule: ribosomal RNA, 750 nt
Filed under: uncultured bacterium
Lineage: Bacteria
Description: bacterial SSU rRNA
Rfam family: Bacterial small subunit ribosomal RNA
Source: RNAcentral